GUCCUAGCCCUAAACGGUGCUUGCUUGCUGUAAGAGGAAUCGACCCCUCUUGUGGCGGAGCUAACGCGUUAAGCAAGCCGCCUGGGAAGUACGGUCGCAAGAUUAAAACUCAAAGAAAUUGACGGGGGCCUGCACAAGCGGUGGAGUAUGUGGCUUAAUUCGAUGCAACGCGAAGAACCUUACCUGGCCUUGACAUGUAUCUAGUAGAAGGGUGAAAGCCUGACGAGGUAGCAAUACCAGGAUACACAGGUGCUGCAUGGCUGUCGU
Molecule: ribosomal RNA, 267 nt
Filed under: uncultured bacterium
Lineage: Bacteria
Description: partial 16S ribosomal RNA
Rfam family: Bacterial small subunit ribosomal RNA
Source: RNAcentral